AUGGGGGAAAAGUACAUCUAAUGUAAUGGGGGGUUUCAGUUAAACAGAUGCUCAGCAGAGGAAAAAUAAACAGGCCGAUAAUUUGGGGUUUGCUCUCUCGUCGUUUUUUGUACUGUUUUCUUUUUGUUUUUUGGCUUGAAGGUAAAGAUACUAGAAAUGGAAUUGCUAUUGUCAAAUCAUGCACCACCUUAAGGAAGUCUUGACCAAAAGCCAAAUUGAAGCCGUGGAUCCAAGCUGCCCAGUAAACAGCUAAAGAAUCUGCAUUAAAAAGACCACGAGGGAUAACAAAUCUAUGGCCAUCCAAACUUACAUGUGUCAGAAUGUCCCAUGCCACAGAAGGAACCACACAUACAUGCAAAUGCAUCUAAUUCAUAUACGUCCCUUGUGAUCAUGACUUGGGAAGGUGUUUGAGCACAAAGGAAGCAGAAGGCUAACAGACAGUGGGAUUCUGGUACAACUUACCAGAAGUCAUCACCCAUGAUGGUGUGGGAUUUUGAGGUGAUGAAGUUGUCUCA
Non-coding RNA from Rattus norvegicus (Norway rat), 515 nucleotides. The record is from RefSeq and is a predicted model, not a curated record. Lineage: Eukaryota; Metazoa; Chordata; Mammalia; Rodentia; Muridae.